Long non-coding RNA from Gadus chalcogrammus (walleye pollock), 539 nucleotides. RefSeq lists it as uncharacterized. NCBI's taxonomy places the organism in Eukaryota, Metazoa, Chordata, Actinopteri, Gadiformes, Gadidae. The transcript is spliced from 3 exons. The record is from RefSeq and is a predicted model, not a curated record.
ACGGUGAUUCACGGUGAGGUCGGUCGGGUACCUUGGGAUUAAAAGGAGGAGGUAUCGGGUUCUAGACCUCUUCUGGGGGGCAUAGGUAGACUGCACUGCAGACAUUGGGUAUAUUGGGGGAAAAUAAAUGGCUCUGUGUGGGGUUAGUGUUUAACAGAGGUGAAAAGGCAGGAGCUCACUAGGGUCCAGCUGCAGCCCCGGAGAAACCCUGGAUACCAAAGAUGAACCAUGGAAGCACGGCAGAAGGUUCCCACACUUCAUGGAGGAGGCCAAACAAAUGGUGGCUGGACUACUUCUACCAGUCUUCAGACUGAAGCGAAAAAGAGAAUGAGUUGGAGCUGAUGGCAGUCAGCAUGAAGAAGCUAUAUCUUUAAGCUUCUGUCGAUUAUUUGUUAAAUAAAUUGUGAGGAAACUUUGGUGUGGUUAUUCUUCAAUGUAUAUUUAUAUCAAAUUAUGAUGGUAUACUUUACAAAAAAAAUAAUUUGAUUCAAUUAGACGGUUCCUAACGUAUCGAAAUAUAUUUUUUAUUUCUAUGUUAU